CUCCGGUCCUGGAGCUGUCCCAGCUUCCCAGGUGUGGAAACUGAAGGACCGAGAGCUUAAACGGGUGUGCUGAGUAAACUCAUAGGCUGAGAUUCGAAUUCUCCUCCCCCAACGAGGCUGUAGCCUGUGCUCUCUUCCUUGGUCACCACGUUUCUUUGCGAGCUGAUGGAGGAAAGCGUGAGGAAUGAUAAGGCCCUGGAGACGAAGAACGCGAGCUUAUCGCUGUCUCACAUGCGCACGCUUAGGCGUUUGAGAGCUCACAGGCCCACUUGCAUAACCACUUUCUUGAUAGCGGAGUUACAGCUUGAGAGCACGGGGCUUUGUGCACGGCCAGACCUAGAGACUAGUCCUGGGCCUGCUACUGGCCGUUGUGACACCUUAAGUCAUUUCCCCUAUUCUGAGACUCCGUUUCCUCGUCUGUAAGGUGGAAAGAAUAGUAUCUGUUUCAUAGGAUCACAGAAUCUCUGACGACAAAUGGGAAUUCUCACUGAUUUCUAGGACUACCCUGGGGCAGAAAAAGAAGAUAUAGAAAAUUACCUUUUCGCUUUGGCUGGAAGGAGGAUAUCAGCUCGAGGGAAGGCAGUGGACGGUAAUUGGCCUG
This is a long non-coding RNA of Cercocebus atys (sooty mangabey), 601 nucleotides long. RefSeq lists it as uncharacterized. The transcript is spliced from 3 exons. NCBI's taxonomy places the organism in Eukaryota, Metazoa, Chordata, Mammalia, Primates, Cercopithecidae. The record is from RefSeq and is a predicted model, not a curated record.